RNAcentral lists this unclassified non-coding RNA (1331 nucleotides) under uncultured fungus. Its description in RNAcentral is "sequence contains 18S rRNA gene, ITS1, 5.8S rRNA gene, ITS2, 28S rRNA gene". The stretch from base 402 to 1331 matches the Rfam family "Eukaryotic large subunit ribosomal RNA", at positions 1 to 961 of the family's 3401-position model. Lineage: Eukaryota; Fungi. The record is from RNAcentral.
GGAAGGAUCAUUCCUAUAAAACUACUCACACUUUAAGAAUCCCUGAUGAUGGCGCAGUUACCUGCCAUCAACCCUUUUAAACUUAGCCUAGUAUCGCAUUCAAUAAUAAUUACAUCUAUUGACAACGGAUACCUUGGCUCUCACAACGAUGAAGAACGCAGCGAACCGCGAUAUGUAUUGCGAAUUGCAGAAUUCAGUGAAUCAUCAAAAUUUUGAACGCAAGUUGCGCUCUCUGGUAUCCCGGAGAGCAUACCUCUUUCAGUGUCGUUUCUCAUCUAAAGUGUACUUUACAUUUUACUUUCGGGUCUGUUGAUCCGAGAAAUGACAUGACAUCUGUUGGGUCCGUGACUAAUGUAGAAAUAACUUCAUUGAUCUGUGGACUCGGCAGGUACUCAGUGUACUGACCUGAAAUGAGGCAAGAUUACCCGCCGAAUUUAAGCAUAUUAAUAAGCGGAGGAAAAGAAACUAACUAGGAUUCCCUUAGUAACGGCGAGUGAACCGGGAAAAGCUCAAACUGAAAAUCUUGUGGUUUCGGCCAUGAGAAUUGUAGUUAUAGAGGCAUUAUCAGCGAACGGCUCCGGUUUAAGUGUGCUGGAACACAACAGCAGAGAGGGUGAGACUCCCGUUCUAGGCUGGAAGACUGUCGCGUACGAUGUGCUUUCUACGAGUCGGGUUGCUUGGGAGUGCAGCCUUAAAUGGGUGGUAAAUUCCAUCUAAAGCUAAAUAUCUGUGAGAGACCGAUAGCACACAAGUACCGUGAGGGAAAGGUGAAAAGUACUUUGAAAAGAGAGUCAAACAGCACUUGAAAUUGUCAAUGGUCAAGCGAUUGGAACCAGUGUUAAGGACGUCUUUGCUUUGGAGUUUCGGCUUCAUUGUGUAUGGGCGUUCCGUCAUCAGAGUAAGCUGUGAAUGAAGGACAGGUUUCACCGAUGGGUAGCGUUGCUUGCAGCGCGAUGGUCGGAGAUUCCCACUUUAUAACUCAUAUUCUGAAGAAAUGGUUUCAAUUGACCCGUCUUGAAACACGGACCAAGGAGUCUAACGUAUUGGCGAGUCGGAGAGUGUCAAACUCUUAGGCGUAAUGAAAGUGAAGCUGUCUCUAUGAUGGUGAGGUGUGCGGGGUAACCUUCAACACCGCCCGGUCUAUUCAUUAGUGAUAGAUUCGAGGCCGAGCCAACACGCUAGGACCCGAAAGAUGGUGAACUAUGCCUGAGCAGGGUGAAGCCAGGGGAAACUCUGGUGGAAGCUCGCAGCGAAUCUGACGUGCAAAUCGAUCGUAUGACUUGGGUAUAGGGGCGAAAGACUAAUCGAACCAUCUAGUAGCUGGUUCCCUC